RNAcentral lists this ribosomal RNA (477 nucleotides) under uncultured bacterium. RNAcentral describes it as "bacterial SSU rRNA". It matches the Rfam family "Bacterial small subunit ribosomal RNA", at positions 33 to 507 of the family's 1533-position model. The record is from RNAcentral.
ACGCUGGCGGCGUGCCUAACACAUGCAAGUCGAACGGACGAGGGGAGCUUGCUCCCUGAGUUAGUGGCGAACGGGUGAGUAACGCGUGAGGAACCUGCCUUUCAGUGGGGGACAACAGUUGGAAACGACUGCUAAUACCGCAUAAGUGCACAGUACCGCAUGGUACAGUGUAAAAAACUCCGGUGGUGUGAGAUGGACCCGCGUCUGAUUAGCUAGUUGGCGGGGUAACGGCCCACCUAGUCUACGAUGUCUAGGGGUUCUGAGAGGAAGGUCCCCCACACUGGAACUGAGACACGGUCCAGACUCCUACGGGAGGCAGCAGUGAGGAAUAUUGGUCAAUGGUCGGAAGACUGAACCAGCCAAGUAGCGUGAAGGAUGAAGGUUCUAUGGAUUGUAAACUUCUUUUAUAAGGGAAUAACAGAUGCUACGUGUAGCGUUUUGCAUGUACCUUAUGAAUAAGCAUCGGCUAACUCCGUG